RNAcentral lists this ribosomal RNA (408 nucleotides) under uncultured bacterium. RNAcentral's name for it is "partial 16S ribosomal RNA". It matches the Rfam family "Bacterial small subunit ribosomal RNA", at positions 28 to 526 of the family's 1533-position model. The record is from RNAcentral.
GACGAACGCUGGCGGCGUGCUUAACACAUGCAAGUCGAACGAAGUGGCGAACGGGUGAGUAAUACGUGAGUAACCUGCCCUCCUUUUUGGGAUAAGCCUUGGAAACGGGGUCUAAUACCGAAUAAAGGGGGAUGGGCUCGCUGCCUAUCAGCUUGUUGGGGGGGUGAUGGCCUACAAAGGCGGUGACGGGUAGCCGGCCUGAGAGGGUGACCGGCGAAAUGGGGCCUGGGAUACGGCCCUGACGGCGACGGGAGGCGGGAGUGGGGGAUAUUGCACAAUAGGCGAAAGCCUUAUGGAGCGACGACGCGUGGAGGUUGAAGGCUUUCGGGUUGUAAUCCUCUUUCGCUAUCGAACCGGUAGGUAGAGAAGAAGCGCCGGCUAACUACGUGCCAGCAGCCGCGGUAAUUC